Molecule: long non-coding RNA, 582 nt
Organism: Pseudoliparis swirei
Lineage: Eukaryota; Metazoa; Chordata; Actinopteri; Perciformes; Liparidae
Exons: 3
Source: RefSeq, a predicted model, not a curated record
CCGACACAACUGGGACCAUGAGUUCCUCUCCCACAUGCAGCAGGACUCGUCUGGUGUCGGCCGUGUUCUGGUCCUGUUUGUCUUUUGGUGUUCCGCCUGUUGUCCUCGUGACGAUGAAUGGACUCCGGUCCUGAUGAGGCAGCCAGGCGUUCACCUCCCAGCCGUCUUUGAUCCUGCAUUGAUGGCCCAGCUCAACGCAGCCUCCGAACGGGUGUUGGGACAGAUGAAGUAUCCAGCAUUUCAUCUCUCGAGCACCGACACUGGAGAAAAGUUUGGCCUGCAGUCGUUGAGCCUGGUUGCCGCCCAGUUCCUGUGGACUGGGACAAGCACAGGACCAAGUCGGACUCUGCCCCCCCGGCCCUGAAUCCACCUCCUCAAAGCAGCGUGCCUACUGUCCAGUCAUCCUCACUCUUCAUGGCACCACAGAAGCUGUUCCAGUUUCCUCCACGCCCUCCUGUGGAUUCUGCUGCUGUCAAACCAGACGUGACUCCCGGGCCUCCGACAGAUCCAGAAACAUGUCGGCCGUCUCUGCCGCUGCUGUCUCGCCGACUGCCGCUCGCACUGGACCUGUGAAGACAGGGG